This 499-nucleotide ribosomal RNA is filed under the name uncultured bacterium. Its description in RNAcentral is "partial 16S ribosomal RNA". It matches the Rfam family "Bacterial small subunit ribosomal RNA", at positions 28 to 507 of the family's 1533-position model. The record is from RNAcentral.
GACGAACGCUGGCGGCGUGCCUAAUACAUGCGAGUCGAGCGAAGUUUUUCUGGUGCUUGCACUAGAAAAACUUAGCGGCGAACGGGUGAGUAACACGUAAAGAACCUGCCUCAUAGACUGGGACAACUAUUGGAAACGAUAGCUAAUACCGGAUAACAGUAUUUCUCGCAUGAGAGAUAUUUAAAAGUUGGUUAUGCUAACACUAUGAGAUGGCUUUGCGGUGCAUUAGCUAGUUGGUGGGGUAAAGGCCCACCAAGGCGACGAUGCAUAGCCGACCUGAGAGGGUGAUCGGCCACACUGGGACUGAGACACGGCCCAGACUCCUACGGGAGGCAGCAGUAGGGAAUCUUCCGCAAUGGGCGAAAGCCUGACGGAGCAACGCCGCGUGAGUGAAGAAGGAUUUCGGUUCGUAAAGCUCUGUUGUUAGGGAAGAAUGGAUAUGUAGUAACUAUACAUGUAAGAGACGGUACCUAACCAGAAAGCCACGGCUAACUACGUG